Molecule: ribosomal RNA, 253 nt
Filed under: uncultured bacterium
Lineage: Bacteria
Description: partial 16S ribosomal RNA
Rfam family: Bacterial small subunit ribosomal RNA
Source: RNAcentral
UACGAAGGGGGCGAGCGUUGUUCGGAAUUACUGGGCGUAAAGCGUGCGCAGGCGGUUUGUUAAGUCCGUUGUGAAAGCCCCGAGCUCAACUUGGGAAUUGCAGUGGAUACUGGCAGGCUGGAGUACGGUAGAGGAAGGUGGAAUUCCCGGUGUAGCAGUGAAAUGCGUAGAUAUCGGGAGGAACACCAGUGGCGAAGGCGGCCUUCUGGACCAGUACUGACGCUCAUGCACGAAAGCUAGGGGAGCAAACAGG